This 260-nucleotide ribosomal RNA is filed under the name uncultured Eubacteriales bacterium. RNAcentral describes it as "uncultured Clostridiales bacterium partial 16S ribosomal RNA". It matches the Rfam family "Bacterial small subunit ribosomal RNA", at positions 79 to 339 of the family's 1533-position model. The record is from RNAcentral. Lineage: Bacteria; Bacillati; Bacillota; Clostridia; Eubacteriales.
UUGCUCUUCAAAUCGAGUGGCGAACGGGUGAGUAACGCGUGAGGAACCUGCCUCAAAGAGGGGGACAACAGUUGGAAACGACUGCUAAUACCGCAUGACACAUAGGUGUCGCAUGGCACUUAUGUCAAAGAUUUAUCGCUGAAAGAUGGGCUCGCGUCCGAUUAGAUAGUUGGUGAGGUAACGGCUCACCAAGGCGACGAUCAGUAGCCGGUCUGAGAGGAUGAACGGCCACACUGGAACUGAGACACGGUCCAGACUCC